UUGGACAAUGGGCGAAAGCCUGAUCCAGCCAUGCCGCGUGAGUGAAGAAGGCCUUCGGGUUGUAAAGCUCUUUUAGUCGGAAAGAAAGAGUUGCAAUGAAUAAUUGUGAUUUAUGACGGUACCGACAGAAAAAGCACCGGCUAACUACGUGCCAGCAGCCGCGGUAAUAAGGGC
RNAcentral lists this ribosomal RNA (174 nucleotides) under uncultured bacterium. RNAcentral's name for it is "partial 16S ribosomal RNA". It matches the Rfam family "Bacterial small subunit ribosomal RNA", at positions 364 to 533 of the family's 1533-position model. The record is from RNAcentral.